RNAcentral lists this ribosomal RNA (850 nucleotides) under uncultured bacterium. Its description in RNAcentral is "bacterial SSU rRNA". It matches the Rfam family "Bacterial small subunit ribosomal RNA", at positions 8 to 890 of the family's 1533-position model. The record is from RNAcentral.
AGAGUUUGAUCCUGGCUCAGAAUCAACGCUGGCGGCGCGCCUAACACAUGCAAGUCGAACGAGAAAGUGGAGCAAUCCAUGAGUAAAGUGGCGUACGGGUGAGUAACACGUGGAUCAUUUACCUUUUAGUGAGGAAUAACCAUGGGAAACCGUGGCUAAUACCGCAUAAGCUCGAGAGAGGAAAGUCGCAAGACGCUGAAAGAGGAGUCCGCGGCCGAUUAGCUAGUUGGCAGGGUAAAAGCCUACCAAGGCAAAGAUCGGUAGCCGGCCUGAGAGGGCACACGGCCACACUGGCACUGAAACACGGGCCAGACUCCUACGGGAGGCAGCAGUGGGGAAUCUUGCACAAUGGGGGAAACCCUGAUGCAGCGACGCCGCGUGAGCGAUGAAGCCCUUCGGGGUGUAAAGCUCUUUCGGCAGGGAAGAUAGUGACGGUACCUGCAGAAGCAGCUGCGGCUAACUACGUGCCAGCAGCCGCGGUAAUACGUAGGCAGCGAGCGUUGUUCGGAGUUACUGGGCGUAAAGGGUGUGUAGGCGGUUGUUUAAGUUUGGUGUGAAAUCUCCCGGCUCAACUGGGAGGGUGCGCCGAAUACUGAAUGACUUCGAGUGCGGGAGAGGAAAGUGGAAUUCCUGGUGUAGCGGUGAAAUGCGUAGAUAUCAGGAGGAACACCGGUGGUGUAGACGGCUUUCUGGACCGUAACUGACGCUGAGACACGAAAGCGUGGGUAGCAAACAGGAUUAGAUACCCUGGUAGUCCACGCCCUAAACGAUGCAUAUUUGGUGUGGGCAGUUCAUUCUGUCCGUGCCGGAGCUAACGCGUUAAAUAUGCCGCCUGGGGAGUACAGUCGCA